Diceros bicornis minor is the source of this 3831-nucleotide long non-coding RNA. RefSeq lists it as uncharacterized. Lineage: Eukaryota; Metazoa; Chordata; Mammalia; Perissodactyla; Rhinocerotidae. The record is from RefSeq and is a predicted model, not a curated record. The transcript has 3 exons.
GGGUGGGAGGGCUGGGACGCACCUAAAGGUUUGUAGCCUGAGCAGGAGUUAAUUAGGGACGAGUCCUGGGAGCCGGAGGAACCCCAUGGAGCGUUCAGGGAACUAUAUCUGGUUUGGUCUGGCUGGUACACGAAGCAUGGAGGCGGGGGUGAGGGUUAGGAAGGAGAUGAGGCCGAGUUGGCUUCAGAGACGUGGCCUAUCCUAGGGCCAUGGUGGGUGGAGAGGAGCGAUGGGUGUAACAGCUAUCCUCAGUGGUGGAAUUGAGGGGACUCAAUGCUGAUUGAAUGUUGGGGGAGAAUUGUGCUAGGAUGAGGUCAGAGUUGGGUGGAUGGCGGUGUCAUUUUUUGAGAUGGGGAUUGUAGGAAAUGGGUGGUCAAUGAUAAGUGUAGUUUUAGCCAGGAAUUGGGGGUUGGCGGUAGGCAGCGGAUAGAAUAGAUAGGAUGGAUGAGAUUUUCUGGUGAAGGGUAAGUGAGGAAAGAGCUGUGUGUGAAACCCUGCGGGCACAGGAGGGAGAGUGAGGAGGGGGCAGAGGUGGACGAAGUGCCUAAAGCUUUCUAGACUUUCCUCACACGCUCUCAGACCACUGAGCUGUGAAGGAAGGUGGGGAACAGCCCAGUACUCAGCAAUAGGCUUCAGGAUCCCUCACCCCAGGCCAGGUUUUCCCCAUCUUUUCUCAGUCUCUGCACUCUGUGGUAGAUUACUUCACACGAAGAGUCAGUAUUUACCACACAAAGGAAAGGAGGAGGCAGCCCCUUGAGAGGGCCUGGGCUGAAAGUCGCAGCCUGUAAGUGACAGCCUGUGACAGCACGUGAUAGGAAAGAGCCCAAGAACCCACCCAGAUACAGGCUUGUGACCUUAGGCAGCUGCUUAACUCUCAGAGCCCCAGUUGCUCAUCUGUUAAAUGGAGAUAAUGCCAACCUAUUAGGGAGAUUGAGAGGCUUAAAGCACUUAGAACUGUGGAGCACAGAGUAAAUGUAGCCAUCCUUGGGAGUCCAGGGUGGGGACAGAAUGCUGUGUCUUACGUUAGAGACCCGUGGAUUGGAACUCAGCCACACUCAUCAGGCCUCAGCAUCCCAAGGGGAGAGUGAGACGUCCUUGGCAUCAUCUUUCCUAGCUUAGUCUUCUGAAUAACAUGGCAGAGACUGCAUCUUCUAACACUAGGCAACUGGAUCGAGGUUAUGAGACUGUAGGUGUGACACAGCUCAUGAGCCUGUUAAGAGUUCUGGGGGGCUUGGAAAUGGCUCUGGUUAAACAUUAGAAUCACUUUGCAAAAAGUUCAUAAAACUACCAAUUCCAGGGUCCCACCUUAGACCAGUUGAAUCAGAAUCUCUAGCAGUGAUGCUGAGGCAUAGGUGGUUUUUAAAUGUGUUUCAGGUGACUCGGAUAAGUCACCAACCAGAGUUGAGAACCAGUGUCCUAACGCUUGCCCUAACAUUCCAAAGGUGACUUCGUUUCUCUCCUAGAUGGGCCUCCUUGAAGGAUUUAGGGUCAAACAUGCCCUUUCCAGAGCUCCCGGCUGUUGUACUUGUCUUUCCUAGUUGCUUGAAGAGGCUUUUAGAGGUGGAUUCAGCUAUUUCUAAGGCAACAUGAAAAACUCUGAAACCAAGGCAACAGCUAUACAAGAAUUAAUGACUGGAGACCAGAUCUUUUUCAGGAUGAAUAAAUAAUGGAAGCCCUCAAGACCCCCAACCUUGCCAUCCCUUUCCAAACUGCUCUCUGCCGGAGGAACCCAGCUUCUAGCCACCCCGCCCCCCCCCCCCGCCCCAUUCCUCCAUCCUGAGGCAGAUUGCCCAGGAUCAAGGCUGGAGGUAGAUGAUGAGCAAUGCUCUCUGCCUCAAGAGCUACUCCAGGUUCAUAAUGGUACUCAAAACCAAAAAUAACUCAGUAGUCAGCCUCAGAGGAUGCUAGGGAAUGGAUUCAUUUUUAAAAAAAUACUGAGGAAAAGAAUCAAACAUUUAUCCUGCCUUUUUUUAUGGGCUCUACCUCAGGGCUACCAAAUAGUUGAUGAGGGAAAGUUUCUCUCUAUAGAGAAUUCCAGUUAAUCAAAGAAGAAAGAUGGAGCCAAUCAAAAUUUUACUAUUUUUUAAACUUUACAGAAUUAAUAGAUCCUAAGGAAUGAUCAUCAAUGGCUGCUAACAUCACUAAAAGAAAACCAGAUUUUAUGCCUCAUGAUGGGAGAACAUACCAUCUUCUAUGAAAUAUUUUUGCCAAAAAUUGAAUUUGAAUCUGGAUCUAACUACCAUUUUAUAAGAAAUACAAAACAACAUUUUUUAAAUAUCAGGAAGAAGCUAGAAUGAUCCAUGUGGUAGUGGAUUAGAGUUGGAGACAUCAGCAUGAAUUUGUGUUUAGCUUAAUUUAGGAAUAGGUGAUUACGUAGAGAAAUAUUUAUGGAUAUAUGUAUAUACAAGGCUUAGUGUACACUUAUAUGUCCUUGCCCUGUCAACUCAGGGCCUAAAAGCAAUGAUAGCCCAGUAGCAACAUGCACACCUAGUGCCCAGAUGUUGAUUUCUAAUACCAUUUUCCAAUACAAGGAACCAAGACUCCUUGGAGAAAUGGCUGAUUCAAGCACUGGGGCAGGAAAUAUACACGAUGGAUACGUGAUGAGCCUGGAGCAUCUUAUGAUGCCAGAAAGGCAAAAAGAGAUGGAGGCAGAAUCUCCACAUGGAAGGAGCUUGGGGAGACAGAUCAUUUGAAGCUGGUGAGCUUUAUUUGGAUCCUGACUUGAAUAAACAAAGAGGUCCAGCAUCAAAAAUACCCACUGCCAACUUGUCUGGACCCCAUGAGGUGGAUCCGUUUCACCAUAAGGACAGAACUUAUCAGAUGCCUCCAGCUUCCUGCCUGGACCUCUUCACCUGAAUGCCCCACAAGCCCUCAGACCCAACACCCCCAGGAAUGAACUCAGUAUUUCUCCCACCCCAUCUGCAUCUCCUGGAUCUCCGGCUCUGUGAAUGGCCCACCGCCUGCCCAGUCACCAUGCUGGAAAUCCAGGAGUCUUCCCAGACAACUCCUUCACCCCAACCCAGUCAGUCCUCCCUUCUCUCGGUUCCCUCUCAUCAUCUCCACUCUCAGUGCCCUGACUUCAUCAGGUGAAGGUCAGACCUUCGUCUUUUCUCACCUGGACUCCACCUCCUAACUGCCUCCCUGUCUCACCCUCUUCAAACCUGCCCUCCCCACAGUUGCAUGAUACGGCUAAAAGUCAUGCCCUGUCGAUCCCUUUUCAGGGGCUGCCCCUGCUGCAGGGUACAGCAGGGCAAACUCAGCAACUCAGAUCGGAGCUUUGACUUCUGCAUUAGUGAUCUGUUGCCAAAACAUAUUGUAAAAUGUAGUGACUUAACACAGCAGUAAACACUUAUUAUUUCUCAGUGUCUGUGGGUCAGGAAAUAAGGAAUGGCUGCUGAGUGGUUCUGGCUCAAAGUUUCUCAGGACGUUUUAGUCCAUAUGUCAGCAAGGGCUGCAGUCAAAUGAAGGCUUGACUAGGGCUGGAGAAUUUGCUUCCCAUGUGGCUCGCUGACGUGGCUGGAAGUUGGUGCUGGCUGUGGGCAAAAGCCUGUGUCACACCACACAGAUCUUUCCACGUGGUUGCUUGAGUGUCCUCAAAACAUGGUGGCUGGCUCUCUUCAGAGUGAGGGAUCCAAGAGAAAGCAAGACGGAAUCCAUGUCUUUUUGACCUGGUCUCAGCAGUCAGACACCACCACCUCUACAGUACUCUAUUGGUCACACAGGCCACCCUGAUGCAAUGUGAGAGGGAACUACACAGAGCAGGAAUACCAGAGGUGAGGAUCACUGGGAGCCAUCUUGGAGGCUGGCCACCACACCUUCCUCUCAUACCUG